AGGUUACUGCUAUCGAGGUUCGACUAAGCCAUGCGAGUCGAAUGUAGCAAUACAUGGCGAACUGCUCAGUAACACGUGGACAACCUGCCCUUAGGUUGGGUAUAAACCCGGGAAACUGGGUAUAAUACCCGAUAGGUCUCGAUUGCUGGAAUGCAUCGAGAUUUAAAGCUCCGGCGCCUAAGGAUGGGUCUGCGGCCUAUCAGGUAGUAGUGGGUGUAGCGUACCUACUAGCCUACGACGGGUACGGGUUGUGAGAGCAAGAGCCCGGAGAUGGAUUCUGAGACACGAAUCCAGGCCCUACGGGGUGCAGCAGGCGCGAAAACUUUACAAUGCUGGCAACAGCGAUAAGGGAACCUCGAGUGCCAGGUUACAAAUCUGGCUGUCGAGAUGCCUAAAAAGCAUUUCAUAGCAAGGGCCGGGCAAGACCGGUGCCAGCCGCCGCGGUAACACCGGCGGCUCGAGUGGUAACCGUUAUUAUUGGGUCUAAAGGGUCUGUAGCCGGCCGGAUAAGUCUCUUGAGAAAUCUGGCAGCUUAACUGUCAGGCUUUCAGGAGAUACUGUCUGGCUCGAGGCCGGGAGAGGUGAGAGGUACUUCAGGGGUAGGGGUGAAAUCUUGUAAUCCUUGAAGGACCACCAGUGGCGAAGGCGUCUCACCAGAACGGACCUGACAGCAAGGGACGAAAGCUAGGGGCACGAACCGGAUUAGAUACCCGGGUAGUCCUAGCCGUAAACGAUACUCGCUAGGUGUCGGCCACGGUGCGACCGUUGUCGGUGCCGUAGGGAAGCCGUGAAGCGAGCCACCUGGGAAGUACGGCCGCAAGGCUGAAACUUAAAGGAAUUGGCGGGGGAGCACCACAACGGGUGGAGCUUGCGGUUU
RNAcentral lists this ribosomal RNA (877 nucleotides) under uncultured Methanosarcinales archaeon. RNAcentral describes it as "bacterial SSU rRNA". It matches the Rfam family "Archaeal small subunit ribosomal RNA", at positions 21 to 903 of the family's 1478-position model. Lineage: Archaea; Methanobacteriati; Methanobacteriota; Methanomicrobia; Methanosarcinales. The record is from RNAcentral.